This is a long non-coding RNA of Zingiber officinale, 1357 nucleotides long. RefSeq lists it as uncharacterized. NCBI's taxonomy places the organism in Eukaryota, Viridiplantae, Streptophyta, Magnoliopsida, Zingiberales, Zingiberaceae. The record is from RefSeq and is a predicted model, not a curated record. The transcript is spliced from 4 exons.
UCUUUUAUUUCUUUCCCAAAACCCUCGCGACUCGACUCUCUGCCUUCCUCUCACCUCGACUCGCAGCUUGACUCUCUGCCUCCUCUUUGCCGCCUCGACUUUCCAUCGCCUCCUCCUCACAGCCUCUUCCUCGCCGCCUCGACUUUCCACCAUCUUCGCCGCCUCAUUCUCACUGCCUCUUUAUUUCUUUUUUGAUUGCUUCAUAGAGAGUCUUCCUGCGGUGAAGACGACGGCUUUUACAAAUUUUUUUCUAUGAUAAUCAUCUUAUCGUUUUAAAGGUUCGGGCUUUUUGUGACCUUGCGAGUUCUUAAAGUUGAGCAAAGAGGAGUUGUGUUUUUUUAAUCUCCUUCUAUUCGAGAGGAAUUUUUUCCUCGGGGAGGGAUGUGGUGACUUCCAACAAGGCGAGAUGUAGAUCUGGAUCGAGGUGAACUAGGCCGAAUUGGGAGAAGAAAUUUAAAAAAAAAAAGAAGCGAAUAAGGGAUCAUUGAAUUCCCCAUGGUCGAGAUCCUUGUUAGGGUUUUAUUUUCUGAUAUGGUUUUGAAAUCUAUGGACAACUUCUCCAAAACAAGUUUUGUGUGUGUGUGUGUAUUUUGUUUUGGUUGUUGUUCCCUUGAAAUAGAAAAAUAGUGUUUUUUAUAAUUAAAUGUACAACGUAAUAUUUAUCCCAAUCUAAUUUUAGAUGAUUUGAUUAUGAAUUUGAAAUGAGGCGGAAAGAUGUUUGAUCAUUUUGCUAUUUUUUCAAGAUAGAGAACUCAAUUAAUGAUUGGGAAGAUCAAUCUCAAUUUCUAAAUCUGGAAAACCUGGGAGUUCGUCAAACUGGCAUCUAUGAGAAUCCUUCACUGGUCUACACCGGCUAUGGUUACAGUCCUCAGAUGCCAUAUGACCCAUAUUCACGUGUCACAACACCUCUACCUUUGAUUAAUGGAGAUGAUAUCUUUACUCCACUUAGCAAUUCCAGUUCCCAGAGAUUGAUGUUUCACCACAAUCUAUUGGUGGUCACUCUUUUGGGCAAAGCACAGUUCCUUUUGGAAUGGGAGUGAAGAGUUACUCUGUGAAGUUGAUGAGGACUACAUAUUAAGGACUGAAUUUAUUAUGAAACUGAUGAUCAACAAUGUUGGAAAAGGUUGACAUGAAAGAAUCAGUAAGUGAGAAAGAGGAGUUCAAUGAAAUCCUACAAGUUGAAGAUUGUGAUGGGACUUGGGUUGACAAUAAAGUGCAAUUCUACCAGGCAACAACCAUCACAAGUUUUUAGUCUUUUAGCUAUUGUUCAUUAGUUGUAAAUGGAGUUUAUUUAUUUAUUUGUAUUGGGAUAAAUUUUAUUUGAAUAUGACACAUGUUUAUUCUUUUGUGAUUGUAA